This 81-nucleotide microRNA precursor is filed under the name Cajanus cajan (pigeon pea). RNAcentral describes it as "miRNA gene-KK1_039792". Lineage: Eukaryota; Viridiplantae; Streptophyta; Magnoliopsida; Fabales; Fabaceae. The record is from RNAcentral.
CACUUUUAAAAUCGACUACUUAAGAACCAAUUUUGUAUACUACAUACAAAAUCAGUUCUUAAUUUGUCAAUUUUAAAAGUA